GGAAAUUCCAUCCCAAAGCAAGGAAUGGUGCUGCCUUCCAGGCAGAAAAAGCCAAAAAAGGGACACCUGAACCUGUCCCCAAAGAGAACAUCAGAUUGAAGAUUAAACCCAGCAGCAGUGCAAGGCUCUGCUCAUACACAAGGAAAUUCCACCUCAAAGGAAGGAAUGGUGCUGCUUUCCAGGCAGAAAAAGCCAAAAAAGGGACACCUGAAGCUGUCCCCAGAGAGAAGGAGCAGCAGGGGCACAGAGAGCCGACGUGACUCGCUGAGUCCCAAACUCCCCCUGGAAAGGGACCCAAAUGAGCAGGUUUUGGGGAAGUGGGACACAGGGAGCCAGAGGAGUCACAUGGAGAGGAGUGCUGGAUGCAGGAACAAAGGGCUGCAGGGAUCUCUGCUGGGAGUGAUGCUGGCCUGGCUCCCUAACGAGCUGGGCACUUCGUUAGCGGGCACAGAGCUCCAUUCUCUGCCAGCCUGCCAUCCUCCCAGGCAGCAGGGCACCCAGAGCCAUUCUCUGCCAGCCUGCCAGACACCCAGAGCCACAGCUGAUGUCAUUCCUGCUCCCACCCAGCUCCAUUCUCUGCCAGCCUGCCAUCCUCCCACCCAGAGCCAUUCUCUGCCAGCCUGCAGGACACCCAGAGCCAUUCUCUGCCAGCCUGCAGGACACCCAGAGCCAUUCUCUGCCAGCCUGCAGGACACCCAGAGCCAUUCUCUGCCAGCCUGCAGGACACCCAGAGCCAUUCUCUGCCAGCCUGCAGGACACCCAGAGCCAUUCUCUGCCAGCCUGCAGGACACCCAGAGCCAUUCUCUGCCAGCCUGCAGGACACCCAGAGCCAUUCUCUGCCAGCCUGCAGGACACCCAGAGCCAUUCUCUGCCAGCCUGCAGGACACCCAGAGCCAUUCUCUGCCAGCCUGCAGGACACCCAGAGCCAUUCUCUGCCAGCCUGCAGGACACCCAGAGCCAUUCUCUGCCAGCCUGCAGGACACCCAGAGCCAUUCUCUGCCAGCCUGCAGGACACCCAGAGCCAUUCUCUGCCAGCCUGCAGGACACCCAGAGCCAUUCUCUGCCAGCCUGCAGGACACCCAGAGCCAUUCUCUGCCAGCCUGCAGGACACCCAGAGCCAUUCUCUGCCAGCCUGCAGGACACCCAGAGCCAUUCUCUGCCAGCCUGCAGGACACCCAGAGCCACAGCUGAUGUCAUUCCUGCUCCCAGCACAGGAGAGGCCCCCACACACCCCAGGCCUUCGAAACCACCGCUGAGAAUUCCAUUUUAAAAGGUUUUCUAAACAAAGCAGUAGUGGUAAAACUGUGUGUGUCCCCCAGCUGCCACUUCCUGCCACAGCACUGGUAAAAGUUUCCCCAAGUUUCCUGAAAUCAGUUCUGUAAAUCACCCGAGCUUUUCCCA
Molecule: long non-coding RNA, 1401 nt
Filed under: Ficedula albicollis (Collared flycatcher)
Lineage: Eukaryota; Metazoa; Chordata; Aves; Passeriformes; Muscicapidae
Description: lncRNA (ENSFALG00000029018.1)
Source: RNAcentral